UGUUUUUGUAAUUUCUAUACGUGAAUAUUAGCAUAGAUAUGCCAAUAUAGCUCAUGUGACGCAUUUGGCAGUGACUUGUGCUGUGUAAAGCGGCUGCUGGACUCUCUUAUUCCCUGUCCUGUUGUCAAAUGGAACAAUGCCUCUGUCAAUGACUCGUUUUUGGGAUGCUGAAAGAUCUGGUCAACCAUGUUGUUCCAAGGAAAUCUGUGUAAUCCAAGCAAACGUAGACCUUGCCUAGAUAUGUGCUGCAAUAUUUGUGAAUCCAACGUCGCUUGACCUAAAUGCAUUCUCAGAUGGAAUGUUUGGAGUUGCCAUCAGAUAUUCAACUCAAAAAGUGGAUCGCGUCUCUUCACCAGAUUCCCAUCAGCCCCAUCCCACCAGUGAAAAAGUCUCUGGCUUCACAAUCGUGCCUUGUUCAUG
Molecule: long non-coding RNA, 420 nt
Filed under: Gallus gallus (chicken)
Lineage: Eukaryota; Metazoa; Chordata; Aves; Galliformes; Phasianidae
Source: RNAcentral